Myotis brandtii (Brandt's bat) is the source of this 144-nucleotide long non-coding RNA. RefSeq lists it as uncharacterized. The transcript is spliced from 3 exons. The record is from RefSeq and is a predicted model, not a curated record. NCBI's taxonomy places the organism in Eukaryota, Metazoa, Chordata, Mammalia, Chiroptera, Vespertilionidae.
GAAGAAUUGACUUUGGUGGUCAAAUUUGACUUUGGGUGGUGGGCACACAGUGCAUUAUACAGAUCUUUCAACAUAGAAACCCACAGCUGAAAACUGUACGUAUAUAUUGACCAGUAUCACCCCAAUCAAUUCAGUAAAUAAGUA